GAUGAAGAACGUAGCGAAAUGCGAUAAGUAAUGUGAAUUGCAGAAUUCAGUGAACCAUCGAAUCUUUGAACGCACAUUGCGCCCGGCAGUAAUCUGCCGGGCAUGCCUGUCCGAGCGUCAUUUCUGCCCUCGAGCGAGUCCAGCAUCUAGGUGCUGGGCCCGCCCGGCGUUGGGGCACUACGGGAAGCCCUGUGCUGUCCCCCGUAGGCUCCGAAAUGAAGUGGCGGUCCUGCCGCGGCGCCCCCUGCGUAGUAUAACAGCUCGCUUCGGGACCCGGUGGAGGCCUGCCGUCAAACCUUACUCUCUAAGUUUGACCUCGGAUCAGGUAGGGUUACCCGCUGAACUUAAGCAUAUCAAUAAGCGGAGGA
RNAcentral lists this unclassified non-coding RNA (368 nucleotides) under soil metagenome. Its description in RNAcentral is "partial contains 5.8S ribosomal RNA, internal transcribed spacer 2, and large subunit ribosomal RNA". The stretch from base 1 to 120 matches the Rfam family "5.8S ribosomal RNA", at positions 35 to 154 of the family's 154-position model. The record is from RNAcentral.